CCGCGAAUUCGCCCUUCGGGGUGCACCAGGCGCGAAAACUUUACAAUGCGGGAAACCGUGAUAAGGGGACACCGAGUGCCAGCAUCAUAUGCUGGCUGUCCGGGUGUGUAAAAUACACCCGUUAGCAAGGGCCGGGCAAGACCGGUGCCAGCCGCCGCGGUAACACCGGCGGCCCGAGUGGUGAUCGUGAUUAUUGGGUCCAAAGGGUCCGUAGCCGGUUUGGUCAGUCCUCCGGGAAAUCUGACGGCUCAACCGUUAGGCUUUCGGGGGAUACUGCCAGGCUUGGAACCGGGAGAGGUAAGAGGUACUACAGGGGUAGGAGUGAAAUCUUGUAAUCCCUGUGAGACCACCUGUGGCGAAGGCGUCUUACCAGAACGGGUUCGACGGUGAGGGACGAAAGCUGGGGGCACGAACCGGAUUAGAUACCCGGGUAGUCCCAGCCGUAAACGAUGCUCGCUAGGUGUCAGGCAUGGCGCGACCGUGUCUGGUGCCGCAGGGAAGCCGUGAAGCGAGCCACCUGGGAAGUACGGCCGCAAGGCUGAAACUUAAAGGAAUUGGCGGGGGAGCAC
This 569-nucleotide ribosomal RNA is filed under the name uncultured archaeon. RNAcentral describes it as "bacterial SSU rRNA". It matches the Rfam family "Archaeal small subunit ribosomal RNA", at positions 310 to 879 of the family's 1478-position model. The record is from RNAcentral.